RNAcentral lists this ribosomal RNA (749 nucleotides) under Streptomyces sp. VTT E-062642. RNAcentral's name for it is "bacterial SSU rRNA". It matches the Rfam family "Bacterial small subunit ribosomal RNA", at positions 78 to 839 of the family's 1533-position model. Lineage: Bacteria; Bacillati; Actinomycetota; Actinomycetes; Kitasatosporales; Streptomycetaceae. The record is from RNAcentral.
CUUUCGGGGUGGAUUAGUGGCGAACGGGUGAGUAACACGUGGGCAAUCUGCCCUGCACUCUGGGACAAGCCCUGGAAACGGGGUCUAAUACCGGAUAUGACAUCCUCCCGCAUGGGAAGGGUGUGGAAAGCUCCGGCGGUGCAGGAUGAGCCCGCGGCCUAUCAGCUUGUUGGUGGGGUGAUGGCCUACCAAGGCGACGACGGGUAGCCGGCCUGAGAGGGCGACCGGCCACACUGGGACUGAGACACGGCCCAGACUCCUACGGGAGGCAGCAGUGGGGAAUAUUGCACAAUGGGCGAAAGCCUGAUGCAGCGACGCCGCGUGAGGGAUGACGGCCUUCGGGUUGUAAACCUCUUUCAGCAGGGAAGAAGCGAGAGUGACGGUACCUGCAGAAGAAGCACCGGCUAACUACGUGCCAGCAGCCGCGGUAAUACGUAGGGUGCGAGCGUUGUCCGGAAUUAUUGGGCGUAAAGAGCUCGUAGGCGGCUUGUCACGUCGGAUGUGAAAGCCCGGGGCUUAACCCCGGGUCUGCAUUCGAUACGGGCAGGCUAGAGUUCGGUAGGGGAGAUCGGAAUUCCUGGUGUAGCGGUGAAAUGCGCAGAUAUCAGGAGGAACACCGGUGGCGAAGGCGGAUCUCUGGGCCGAUACUGACGCUGAGGAGCGAAAGCAUGGGGAGCGAACAGGAUUAGAUACCCUGGUAGUCCAUGCCGUAAACGUUGGGAACUAGGUGUUGGCGACAUUCCACGUCG